UAGAUACCCUGGUAGUCCUAGCUGUAAACGAUGAUUACUGGGUGUGGGCAUGAAGAGUGUCCGUGCCGAAGUUAAUGCGAUAAGUAAUCCGCCUGGGGAGUACGGCCGCAAGGCUGAAACUCAAAGGAAUUGACGGGGACCCGCACAAGCGGUGGAGCAUGUGGUUUAAUUCGACGCAACGCGAGGAACCUUACCAGAUCUUGACAUCCUCGGAAGGUGAUGGAAACAUCACCGUGCCCUCGGGAACCGA
This 250-nucleotide ribosomal RNA is filed under the name uncultured bacterium. RNAcentral's name for it is "partial 16S ribosomal RNA". It matches the Rfam family "Bacterial small subunit ribosomal RNA", at positions 779 to 1030 of the family's 1533-position model. The record is from RNAcentral.